UCCCCCUGCUAAUGAAUAAAGACAGACCUUCUUAGUGGUGGCGUUCUUACAUCAGUUAGGGACAUAGAAGAUGGCAGUCCUUUGUUUAUCCUAUCUUGAUGCCUAGCUUGGUGGCCAAAGCUGUCUUAUGCCUGGGACUCAAAA
Rattus norvegicus (Norway rat) is the source of this 144-nucleotide small nucleolar RNA. Ensembl annotates it as small nucleolar RNA SNORA48. The record is from Ensembl. NCBI's taxonomy places the organism in Eukaryota, Metazoa, Chordata, Mammalia, Rodentia, Muridae.